RNAcentral lists this ribosomal RNA (535 nucleotides) under Rhinusa tetra. RNAcentral's name for it is "partial 16S ribosomal RNA". It matches the Rfam family "Bacterial large subunit ribosomal RNA", at positions 1838 to 2631 of the family's 2925-position model. The record is from RNAcentral. Lineage: Eukaryota; Metazoa; Arthropoda; Insecta; Coleoptera; Curculionidae.
UUAUAAUUUAAGGUCUAGCCUGCCCACUGAUUUGAUUAUUAAAUGGCUGCGGUACACUGACCGUGCAAAGGUAGCAUAAUCAUUAGUUUUUUAAUUGAAAGCUGGUAUGAAAGGUUGGAUGAAAAAAUAGCUGUCUCUGUUUAAAUUUAUUAGAAUUUUAUUUUUAAGUAAAAAAGCUUAAAUAUUUAUUGAAGACGAGAAGACCCUAUAGAGUUUUAUAAAUUUAAUUAUUGAAAAUUUUAGGAUUUUAAAAGUUAAUAGUUAAACUUAUUUAGUUGGGGUGAUUGAAAAAUUUAUUGAACUUUUUUUUUAUAGAAACAUAGAUUUAUGAAUAGUUGAUCCUUUUAUUAAGAUUAAAAGAUAAAAUUACCUUAGGGAUAACAGCGUAAUUUUUUUUGAGAGUUCAUAUUAAAAAAAAAGAUUGCGACCUCGAUGUUGGAUUAAAAUUAAUUUUUGGUGUAGAAGCUAAAAGUAUUGGGUCUGUUCGACCUUUAAAAUUUUACAUGAUCUGAGUUUAAACCGGCGUAAGCCAGGU